Long non-coding RNA from Monodelphis domestica (gray short-tailed opossum), 1076 nucleotides. RefSeq lists it as uncharacterized. NCBI's taxonomy places the organism in Eukaryota, Metazoa, Chordata, Mammalia, Didelphimorphia, Didelphidae. The record is from RefSeq and is a predicted model, not a curated record.
UAACCAAGGCUAAUAUGUAGUUUAGCCACCAACCUCUCUUUCUUUUUUCUCCCUUCAAUAUGAAUCUGACUGCAACCUUCUAAUUUUAAGUAGUUUAAUAAUUAUAGUAAAUCAAGAAAGGGGACAGGUAGGUGGGAAUAGGAGACCCUUGCUUUUUCUUCAGCUGAGUCAAAAUGGCUCAACUUCAGCUUAUCUAUCUUCUUAGUCACUAUCUCUAUCUCAACUAAACAAAUGACAAGCAUCCUUCUUUGGAAGGUCAAGGGAUGGAAAGGAUCUUCAGGGUGAUUCCCUGGAGUUAAGGGAUCAGCCCCUUUAAACAGCUGUAGAUGUUUGGUUCUUCCUCUAAUGGAUGCUCUCAAACAAACAGGGAUCUACUUCUUCAGGGUAAGGGGAAUGGAGGCACGGUUUUUCCACAGGUUGGGAUCUAGAGCUCCUGGUCUUUGCUUCACACUCAAAUGAGUCCAGAGGGCAAAGACCCUUUCUGUUUAUCAGUUUCUCCCACAAUUCUCUUUUCUCACUCCAACUGUCACUCCCCCUCCCAUCACAUUCCAAAUGAUGUCUGUUCCAUCUCAAUGGGAAGAAAUGUAAAAGCUUGAUUCACAGUUUUCCUUUCCUCAAUACUGACACAAAUUUGGGGGUCCCAGAGGUGAAUCAGACAUGUGAGAAGGAUGACACACAUCAGGAGGACCACUGAAGCUGGUAGCAAUCAGAGGUAAAGGAGUGUUGGAGAUGGAAUGACUGUGAGAUUUAAGAGAUCAGAAGAGACACCAGAGAUCCAGUGACAGGAGUCCAUGGCAGAGACUGCUAUAGCCACCAUAGUCAAGUCAGAUUAAGGAUACAUUUACCCCAAGGAAUGAACUAUGGGAUUCAGCCUAGCAGUAAACAGGCUCAGUAGCUGAGAUUCUGUAUCCUGAAAGCAAAGAAUUAACACUAUUGCAUCAGCGAUGUCCCAUUCAGAAAUUAAUUGGAUAGGGCAAAUACUUUGUAGCAAGUAGUUUCUUCUCACAAAAGUUUGGAUACUCCUUGUUCAAGUUAUUUAUCUUUUCUUAUUAAAGGUCAUGGAGUUUUCUUUUUUA